GGCAAGAUGGCCGAGUGGUCUAAGGCGCUGCACUCAAGUUGCAGUCUCGAAAGAGGCGUGGGUUCGAGUCCCACUCUUGUCA
Aspergillus tubingensis is the source of this 82-nucleotide non-coding RNA. NCBI's taxonomy places the organism in Eukaryota, Fungi, Ascomycota, Eurotiomycetes, Eurotiales, Aspergillaceae. The record is from the annotation of a RefSeq genome assembly.